This 253-nucleotide ribosomal RNA is filed under the name uncultured bacterium. RNAcentral describes it as "partial 16S ribosomal RNA". It matches the Rfam family "Bacterial small subunit ribosomal RNA", at positions 524 to 776 of the family's 1533-position model. The record is from RNAcentral.
UACGUAGGUGGCAAGCGUUGUCCGGAUUUACUGGGCGUAAAGAGCGCGCAGGCGGCUGGUCAAGUCCGAUGUGAAAUCUCCCGGCUUAACUGGGAAACUGCAUCGGAAACUGAUCGGCUUGAAGGUGGGAGAGGGUAGUGGAAUUCCCGGUGUAGUGGUGAAAUGCGUAGAUAUCUGGAGGAACACCGGUGGCGAAGGCGGCGUCCUGGACCAAUUCUGACACUGAGGAGCGAAAGCCAGGGGAGCAAACGGG